GCCUUCAUGAUGUAACGGUAGCACACUCGGCGCGUAUUCGAGAGGUCCAGGGUUCGAAUCCCGGCGAGGGCA
Molecule: transfer RNA, 72 nt
Filed under: Stegodyphus mimosarum
Lineage: Eukaryota; Metazoa; Arthropoda; Arachnida; Araneae; Eresidae
Rfam family: tRNA
About the family: Transfer RNA (tRNA) molecules are approximately 80 nucleotides in length. Their secondary structure includes four short double-helical elements and three loops (D, anti-codon, and T loops). Further hydrogen bonds mediate the characteristic L-shaped molecular structure. tRNAs have two regions of fundamental functional importance: the anti-codon, which is responsible for specific mRNA codon recognition, and the 3' end, to which the tRNAs corresponding amino acid is attached (by aminoacyl-tRNA synthetases). tRNAs cope with the degeneracy of the genetic code in two manners: having more than one tRNA (with a specific anti-codon) for a particular amino acid; and 'wobble' base-pairing, i.e. permitting non-standard base-pairing at the 3rd anti-codon position.
Source: Rfam by way of RNAcentral